GGGGAAUAUUGGACAAUGGGCGCAAGCCUGAUCCAGCCAUGCCGCGUGGGUGAAGAAGGCCUUCGGGUUGUAAAGCCCUUUUAUACAGGAAUAAAAAAGGGGACGUGUCCCUUAUUGCAUGUACUGUAUGAAUAAGCAUCGGCUAACUCCGUGCCAGCAGCCGCGGUAAUACGGAGGAUGCGAGCGUUAUCCGGAUUUAUUGGGUUUAAAGGGUGCGCAGGCGGGCUUUUAAGUCAGCGGUGAAAUCUCGGGGCUUAACUCCGAAACUGCCGUUGAAACUGGGAGUCUUGAGUAUGGAUGAAGUAGGCGGAAUUCGUUGUGUAGCGGUGACAUGCUUAGAUAUAACGAGGAACUCCGAUUGCGUAGGCAGCUUACUAAGCCAUAACUGACGCUCAAGCACGAAAGCGUGGGGAUCAAACA
RNAcentral lists this ribosomal RNA (420 nucleotides) under uncultured Dysgonomonas sp. Its description in RNAcentral is "bacterial SSU rRNA". It matches the Rfam family "Bacterial small subunit ribosomal RNA", at positions 356 to 774 of the family's 1533-position model. The record is from RNAcentral. Lineage: Bacteria; Pseudomonadati; Bacteroidota; Bacteroidia; Bacteroidales; Dysgonomonadaceae.